CUUCACUAUAGAUUUGCUUAUUCCAGUACUUCAUUUUUCUCUGUCUAAGACUAAGAGAGAAAAUCAUGGAUUCCCAGGCGGUGAAGAGAACACCUUCUUCCCGCAAAGAAACUGAAAUGCUCCGAACAGCCAUGAAGCUGCUUCUAAUACUAGUGAUGCUGGGCUAUCUCAUGAUGUGGUUUAUGAUGCCCACUAACACAUACCGUCAUAUAUGGCUUCUCCAUAUCCGAAAUAAGUUUAAUUCCGCUUACUUUGGCAUACAAGGUGCAACCCUGUUGAUAUACUUCUUCCCCAUUCUUUUCGUUGCUGUCUUGGGCUGUGUUUAUCUCCACCUGGGGAAGAGAUCAAAUCACAACAAUUUCGAAAGCAAUGGCAGAAAACACAUCUUGACCACUUGGAAGAAUCCGAUGGUAGUGAAAGGCCCCCUAGGAAUCGUUUCUGGAGUAGAGCUGGCCUUCUUGAUCAUGUUCGUCGCACUACUAAUUUGGUCUCUAUCAACUUAUUUACAUAACAGCUUUGCUACUAUUACUCCGAAGAGAGGAGAGCAAGCAUGGGAAGCUAAACUGGAGAGUGCGGCCCUUAGGCUAGGGUUAAUUGGGAACAUAUGUCUGGCAUUUCUCUUCUUCCCGGUGACUCGUGGGUCAUCGGUGCUGCCACUGCUUGGGCUCACCUCUGAGGGUAGCAUUAAGUACCAUGUAUGGAUUGGUCAUAUGGUGAUGGCAUUCUUCACUGCACAUGGACUUGGCUACAUCAUCUAUUGGGCUGUUACAAAUCAGAUUUCCGAGAUGCUGAAAUGGGGUAGGGCUGAGAUAUCAAACGUGGCUGGGGAGCUAUCUUUGCUGGCUGGGCUGGGCCUGUGGGCGACAACCUUCCCCCGCAUAAGGCGAAACAUGUUUGAGCUCUUCUUCUACACUCAUCAUCUCUACAUUCUCUUCAUGAUUUUCUUUCUCCUGCACGUUGCCAUCUCCUUCUCCUGUAUUAUGCUCCCUGGAUUUUACCUGUUCUUGGUCGAUCGCUACCUGAGAUUCUUACAAUCUCGACAAAGAGUUCGUUUAGUUUCAGCCCGCAUUUUGCCAUGUGAAACUUUAGAAAUCAACUUCUCUAAAAGCCCAGGUUUGAGUUAUAAUCCAACCAGCGUUCUAUUUGUAAAUGUGCCUACCAUUUCUAAGCUGCAAUGGCAUCCAUUCACUGUCACUUCUAAUAGCAACUUAGAACAAGAGAUGUUGAGUGUUGUGCUUAAAAGUGAAGGGAGUUGGUCCAAGAAGCUGUAUCAGAUGCUUUCAUCACCUUCCUCAAUUGAUCGUCUUGAAGUUUCAGUUGAAGGACCUUAUGGACCUGCUUCAACUCAGUUUCUAAGGCAUGAUACUCUUGUGAUGGUGAGUGGAGGCAGUGGAAUUACUCCUUUCAUAUCUAUAAUUCGAGAACUCAUCUUUGCAGCCACAACAUACAAAUGCAAGACUCCACAAGUAAUCCUAAUUUGCUCAUUCAAGAACUCUUCAGACCUAACCAUGUUAGACCUGCUACUUCCAAUAGCUGGUACCCCACCAGCAAUUUCCAAUCUGCAACUUAAAAUUGACGCUUAUGUUACGAGAGAGAAAGAACCCUCAUUCAAUAACUCGAAACUCCUUCGAACUAUAUGGUUCAAACCCCACCCAACAGAUGCACCUGUUUCGCCCAUUUUAGGCCCCAGUAGCUGGCUCUGGCUUGGCGCUAUAAUAUCAUCUUCUUUUAUCAUUUUCCUCAUCAUAAUUGGCCUUAUUACCCGCUAUUAUAUUUAUCCUAUCGAUCACAACACCUUGAAAGUUUUCUCAUACUCUUUUCGAUCCUUUCUGAAUAUGUUAGUAAUAUGCAUAUGCAUAGCCAUGACAGCAAGUGCAGCAAUUUUGUGGAACAAGAAACAAAAUGCAAGGGAAGCAAAUCAGAUUAAGAACCUUGAAGCGUACACAUCAAGUAGAACACCAGGCUCAUGGUUAUAUGAUGCUGAGAGAGAAUCGGAAAGUCUCCCUCUUCAGUCUCUUGUCCAGGCUACUAACGUGCACUAUGGUGAAAGACCUGACCUAAAGAGAAUGCUGGUUGAUUGCAAAGGAUCAAGCGUGGGAGUUCUUGUUUGUGGUCCGAAGAAGAUGAGGCAUGAGAUUGCAACAAUUUGUUCAUCUGGAUUGGCAAAUAAUUUGCACUUUGAAUUCAUUAGCUUUAGUUGGUGAUCUCAUCUUUUUCUUCUUCAUUUUUUUG
This 2232-nucleotide unclassified non-coding RNA is filed under the name Hevea brasiliensis (rubber tree). Lineage: Eukaryota; Viridiplantae; Streptophyta; Magnoliopsida; Malpighiales; Euphorbiaceae. The record is from RNAcentral.